This 73-nucleotide transfer RNA is filed under the name Ictidomys tridecemlineatus (thirteen-lined ground squirrel). RNAcentral describes it as "Spermophilus tridecemlineatus (thirteen-lined ground squirrel) tRNA". It matches the Rfam family "tRNA". Rfam says of the family: Transfer RNA (tRNA) molecules are approximately 80 nucleotides in length. Their secondary structure includes four short double-helical elements and three loops (D, anti-codon, and T loops). Lineage: Eukaryota; Metazoa; Chordata; Mammalia; Rodentia; Sciuridae. The record is from Rfam by way of RNAcentral.
GGGGAUAUAGCUUAGCUGGUAGAGUGCCUGCCUUGCAUGUACAAGGCCCUGGGUUCAACCCCCAGUACUACAA